AUUUUAUUUUGUUUUUUUACAACUACUAGCCUUAGUAAAUUUAUAUUUGUAUAUAUAAUCAUCUUCUUGCUACGUUGGUAUUUUAAAAUUGAAUACGAUGAUUGAAUCACCGUGUUCAUAUCUCUACUAUAGUCUCUCUUUUUUAACUUAGGGGCGAUAAAAAAUACUAAAAAAAAUAUAGUGAUCUAAUCGCCUUGUUUAAAUACACCGAUUGAAUCACCAUAUUUAACUUAUAAUCGCCAUUUAGGCGCUCCUGUGGUAAGAAAAAGACUAUUUAUGCAAAUAUAAAUAUGUUAAAGUUAUUUGUAAUUUUUUCUUUGUGAGAAGAUUAAAUACUAAAAAAAAAACCCAAAAAUACCUCAUUUGAGAGAGAGAGAGAGAGAGAGAGAGAGAGAGAGAGAACUCACUAGAGAAAAAAAGGACAAACUAUGCUAGGGAGAGUUUUGUGGUACUCGUAUAAGAAAGGAACGUCCAUGAAAGGCUUUCAACGUUCAACCACAGUACCGACCAAUACCGACCGUCCCUAGCAUAAGUGAUAAAGAGCUUGGUAGUUGAUACCCGAGGUCCCAAGUUCGAAUCCUAGUUGAUUUAUAUUUCCAGCUAAGUUUAUUUCUAAAUGAAAUAAACGAAGCGAGUAGCAUGAUACCUAUCUCUCUCAAAAAAAAAAAAAAACGUUCAACGACAAUGCAUCUCGUAGUCCAAAAUCACUAGCUGCGAUAACGAACACAACAAUUCAAUAUAAAGUGGCUGUUCUAAAUUACCGACUCAAAAUAUUUAAAUUCAACUGUUAUAGUUAUAUUUUAGUAUAAUUAUAAUUUUUUAAUUCGAUAUGGAAUUAUUAAGACAUUUCAGACGUUUCAAAA
RNAcentral lists this long non-coding RNA (863 nucleotides) under Ananas comosus (pineapple). RNAcentral describes it as "long non-coding RNA (ACOM_LNC021680)". The record is from RNAcentral. Lineage: Eukaryota; Viridiplantae; Streptophyta; Magnoliopsida; Poales; Bromeliaceae.